AAUAUUGGACAAUGGGCGAAAGCCUGAUCCAGCCAUGCGGCGUGUUUGAAGAAGGUCUUCGGAUUGUAAAGCACUUUAAGUGGGGAGGAAGGUGUUGAAGCUAAUCCCUUCAAUCCUUGCCGUUACCAACAGACUAAACACCGGCUAACUCUGUGCCAGCAGCCGCGGUAAUACGAAGGGUAAAAGCGUUACACGGAAUUACUGGGCGUAAAGCGCGCGUAGGUGGUUCGUUAAAUUGGAAGUGAAAGCCCCGGGCUUAACCUGGGAAUUGCUUUCAAAACUGACGAGCUAGAGUACGGUAGAGGGUAGUGGAAUUUCCUGUGUAGCGGUGAAAUGCGUAGAUAUAGGAAGGAACAUCAGUGGCGAAGGCGACUACCUGGACUGAUACUGACACUGAGGUGCGAAAGCGUGGGGAGCAAACAGG
This 424-nucleotide ribosomal RNA is filed under the name uncultured bacterium. RNAcentral describes it as "partial 16S ribosomal RNA". It matches the Rfam family "Bacterial small subunit ribosomal RNA", at positions 360 to 776 of the family's 1533-position model. The record is from RNAcentral.